AACGAACGCUGGCGGCAUGCCUAACACAUGCAAGUCGAACGAGACCUUCGGGUCUAGUGGCGCACGGGUGCGUAACGCGUGGGAAUCUGCCCUUAGGUUCGGAAUAACUUCGGGAAACUGAAGCUAAUACCGGAUGAUGACGUAAGUCCAAAGAUUUAUCGCCUAAGGAUGAGCCCGCGUUGGAUUAGCUAGUUGGUGAGGUAAAGGCUCACCAAGGCGACGAUCCUUAGCUGGUCUGAGAGGAUGAUCAGCCACACUGGGUCUGAGACACGGCCCAGACUCCUACGGGAGGCAGCAGUGGGGAAUAUUGGACAAUGGGCGAAAGCCUGAUCCAGCAAUGCCGCGUGAGUGAUGAAGGCCUUAGGGUUGUAAAGCUCUUUUACCCGGGAUGAUAAUGACAGUACCGGGAGAAUAAGCUCCGGCUAACUCCGUGCCAGCAGCCGCGGUAAAGUGACUACUG
RNAcentral lists this ribosomal RNA (460 nucleotides) under uncultured bacterium. RNAcentral describes it as "bacterial SSU rRNA". It matches the Rfam family "Bacterial small subunit ribosomal RNA", at positions 29 to 534 of the family's 1533-position model. The record is from RNAcentral.